GUGAUGAUGAUUGCAUAAAGAUACUAAAAAAUUGCAAGAAUGCAAUAUCAAGAAAAGGGAAAGGAGGAAAAGUGAUCAUCAUAGAUGUAGUAAUAAAUGAAAAAGAAGAUGAGCAUGAAAUGACAGAAGUGAAACUUUUACUUGAUGUGACUAUGAUGACCAGUCUCAAUGGAAAAGAGAGAAAUGAAAAGGAAUGGAAGCAACUUUUCUUACAAGCUGGCUUCAAAUCUUAUAAGAUAUUCCCCGCAUUUGGUUUUAGGUCUCUAAUUGAGCUUUAUCCGUAAGCCGUUCUGUAAUUUACUAAUUAAUUGUAAUUUUGCUUGUGUAACAAUUGUUGUUAAUCACAAGUGGUUGAUGGUUGAUGUGGUCGGUGUGUGAGUGUUGUAAACUCGGAAUAACAAGCUAGUUUGAUUCUUACUGAUAAGAAAAAUAUAUAGUUGUAAAGGAGCAGCUCGUAUUUAACUUAGGUGAUAUAGGUAGCCCUUUUGCAGUGGAAUAAGAAACAAGAAUAAGUAUACUUGGGUCAGAUUGAUUUCUUAAGUUAAUAUGCAAAUAGUAUUGUAUUUCCUUGCACAAAUUGUUAUAGCAGACUUUGAUGUAGCAACUUGAUAUUUGGUAGUAAAACAUGUUUUAUUAAAUAAAGUUGAAUUGAAUUAUCAACAUGCUAUCCAAAUAUAGGCAUAAUUUCACGCAUUUGUUGCAUUUCCAUGUCCAAGAGUAGGAAAUGCAACAAACAGUAUGGAUUUCACGCAUCUCGUGUGAAGAUGAAGGCAAUAAGCACUUUACCUACAUUACGAGUAUUAGGGGAACAAUAAAUGAUUAUAGGCAUAAUUACAUGGCACAUGUACUAUGUACUGUCCACAAAUUUAGUUGAAUUGGCAGAAAUGUCGAAAUUGUUAAUGUGUAUCAUGACAGGAGUUCGAACCCAGACCCUUCCACUUUGUAUGUGUGAGUUUUCAAUGACUUUUGUCAUUUCGUCUAUCUACAAAAAAAAAACAUAUAUGACAUAUGUACUAUGUGAUGAAAGUUUAUUAGGUCUAUGUUGGCCGCCUGACCUCUUUGAUGCUAAUGACGACCGUCUGACUCAUGAAAUAUUUUAGUAAUGUGCUUGUGUAUCUUUUGGGUCCGACAAUCACUAUUUAUCGAGCUUUAUAAUUAUUGUCAUGAACAAUAACCUUUACGGCACUUAUAUUUAUAUUUAUGUGAUAAGAAAAAAUCUGGACAAUCAUGAUCACGUUUACAUGGAAUGAUAACUGUAAUGAAAAAAGAGAAAAAACAAUGUUAUUAAAAUGCGAUAAAAUAUUGUAUACGAAGGAAAGAAGGAGAUUUAAAAAGGAGAUAAAAAUUGCUUACGAGCUGACAUUUGCGUUGAAACAAUAAAUAGGGAAAGAAGGAUUAUCAUAACAUAAACACACUUGAAACUUUUAUCCAUAUUUUUCACUCUUUGCAAGUAUCAAAUAGAAUUUAUUGUAUCACUUUUAUUUAUAAAGUUCAUGUUUUCUUUAUAUCAAUU
This 1513-nucleotide long non-coding RNA is filed under the name Trifolium pratense (red clover). Its description in RNAcentral is "long non-coding RNA (TPRA_LNC012885)". Lineage: Eukaryota; Viridiplantae; Streptophyta; Magnoliopsida; Fabales; Fabaceae. The record is from RNAcentral.